Molecule: long non-coding RNA, 618 nt
Organism: Dipodomys spectabilis (banner-tailed kangaroo rat)
Lineage: Eukaryota; Metazoa; Chordata; Mammalia; Rodentia; Heteromyidae
Exons: 2
Source: RefSeq, a predicted model, not a curated record
GGGCCAGGAUCAUGCUCAGGGCCACCCAAGCGCCUGACCAGGCAGCCUUGGGCUCAGCCCCUGCUGGGGCUGUGAAGGCUGCAUCCACACUCCUGUCCCGCCAGGACUCUCAUCCAGGCCCUCUGAAGAGCAGCAAGGCCCAGACAUUGACCUAAAGCUGCCCCCUUGUCCUCCUGAAGCAAGUCUCCAGCCUGAGAUAGGGAACUCCCACCACCCCUGUCCCGACCCCAGAGCCAAGGGAGGGCAGGGCUCCAGCUCCAGCUGAUGCCCACUUGGGUCUGGCCGGACAGGCCCUGAAUGUCUUACAGCAUAUAAAGAGCUUCUUCCCUGGGUGCUGCUGGACCAGCCGCAGGACAGCCUGGAGGAGGAAGCCCCAGGGGCCAGCCUGUGGCCCACCACCGUUACCCUCCUCACCCUCUUCCUGCUCAGCCUGUUCUACAGCACGGCGCUCACGGUGACAAGUGUGCGAGGCCCCCUGGGCAGCAAGGACCCCCAGUACUGAGCAGGAGCAGCAGGGAAGAAGGCCGGAGGAGCCCUCUCCAUGUAAGAGCUGAGCCCCACAAGUCACCCCACAUAAACACACUCCUUCCUGUGCAAUAAAUCCAUGCCCAACACAAA